GAUGAACGCUGGCGGCGUGCCUAAUACAUGCAAGUCGAGCGAACGGACGAGAAGCUUGCUUCUCUGAUGUUAGCGGCGGACGGGUGAGUAACACGUGGAUAACCUACCUAUAAGACUGGGAUAACUUCGGGAAACCGGAGCUAAUACCGGAUAAUAUUUUGAACCGCAUGGUUCAAUAGUGAAAGACGGUCUUGCUGUCACUACUAGAUGGAUCCGCGCUGCAUUAGCUAGUUGGUAAGGUAACGGCUUACCACGGCAACGAUGCAUAGCCGACCGGAGAGGGGGAUCGGCGGCACGGGAGCGUGGACGCGGUCCAGAGUCCUGCGAGAGGCAGCAGUAGGGAAUCUGCCGCAGUGGGCGAGAGCCUGACGGAGCAAGGCCGCGUGAGUUAUGAAGGUCUCCGGAGCGUAAAACUCUGUUAUUAGUGAAGAACAGAUGUGUAAGUAACUGUGCACAGCGUGACGGUACCUAGUCAGAAAGCCACGGCUAACUACGUG
Molecule: ribosomal RNA, 497 nt
Filed under: uncultured bacterium
Lineage: Bacteria
Description: partial 16S ribosomal RNA
Rfam family: Bacterial small subunit ribosomal RNA
Source: RNAcentral